Molecule: ribosomal RNA, 1346 nt
Filed under: uncultured bacterium
Lineage: Bacteria
Description: bacterial SSU rRNA
Rfam family: Bacterial small subunit ribosomal RNA
Source: RNAcentral
GACGAACGCUGGCGGCGUGCUUAACACAUGCAAGUCGAACGGAAAGGCCCUGCUUUUGUGGGGUGCUCGAGUGGCGAACGGGUGAGUAACACGUGAGUAACCUGCCCUUGACUUUGGGAUAACCUCAGGAAACUGGGGCUAAUACCGGAUAGGAGCUCCUGCUGCAUGGUGGGGGUUGGAAAGUUUCGGCGGUUGGGGAUGGACUCGCGGCUUAUCAGCUUGUUGGUGGGGUAGUGGCUUACCAAGGCUUUGACGGGUAGCCGGCCUGAGAGGGUGACCGGCCACAUUGGGACUGAGAUACGGCCCAGACUCCUACGGGAGGCAGCAGUGGGGAAUAUUGCACAAUGGGCGGAAGCCUGAUGCAGCAACGCCGCGUGCGGGAUGACGGCCUUCGGGUUGUAAACCGCUUUCGCCUGUGACGAAGCGUGAGUGACGGUAAUGGGUAAAGAAGCACCGGCUAACUACGUGCCAGCAGCCGCGGUGAUACGUAGGGUGCGAGCGUUGUCCGGAUUUAUUGGGCGUAAAGGGCUCGUAGGUGGUUGAUCGCGUCGGAAGUGUAAUCUUGGGGCUUAACCCUGAGCGUGCUUUCGAUACGGGUUGACUUGAGGAAGGUAGGGGAGAAUGGAAUUCCUGGUGGAGCGGUGGAAUGCGCAGAUAUCAGGAGGAACACCAGUGGCGAAGGCGGUUCUCUGGGCCUUUCCUGACGCUGAGGAGCGAAAGCGUGGGGAGCGAACAGGCUUAGAUACCCUGGUAGUCCACGCUGUAAACGGUGGGUACUAGGUGUGGGGUCCAUUCCACGGGUUCCGUGCCGUAGCUAACGCUUUAAGUACCCCGCCUGGGGAGUACGGCCGCAAGGCUAAAACUCAAAGGAAUUGACGGGGCCCCGCACAAGCGGCGGAGCAUGCGGAUUAAUUCGAUGCAACGCGUAGAACCUUACCUGGGUUUGACAUGGAUCGGGAGUGCUCAGAGAUGGGUGUGCCUCUUUUGGGGUCGGUUCACAGGUGGUGCAUGCCUGUCGUCAGCUCGUGUCGUGAGAUGUUGGGUUAAGUCCCGCAACGAGCGCAACCCUUGUUCACUGUUGCCAGCACGUUAUGGUGGGGACUCAGUGGAGACCGCCGGGGUCAACUCGGAGGAAGGUGGGGAUGACGUCAAGUCCUCAUGCCCCUUAUGUCCAGGGCUUCACGCAUGCUACAAUGGCUGGUACAGAGAGUGGCGAGCCUGUGAGGGUGAGCGAAUCUCGGAAAGCCGGUCUCAGUUCGGAUUGGGGUCUGCAACUCGACCUCAUGAAGUCGGAGUCACUAGUAAUCGCAGAUCAGCAACGCUGCGGUGAAUACGUUCCCGGGGCU